This 65-nucleotide transfer RNA is filed under the name Bavayia septuiclavis. Its description in RNAcentral is "tRNA-Cys". The record is from RNAcentral. Lineage: Eukaryota; Metazoa; Chordata; Lepidosauria; Squamata; Diplodactylidae.
AGCCCCGUAGUGAGUGACACGUCAAAUUGCAAANUUGAAUCGCCCAUANUUUGGUGCCGGGGCUC